RNAcentral lists this small RNA (296 nucleotides) under Arabidopsis thaliana (thale cress). RNAcentral's name for it is "ATSL253830". The record is from RNAcentral. Lineage: Eukaryota; Viridiplantae; Streptophyta; Magnoliopsida; Brassicales; Brassicaceae.
AAAUGGAUUACUUUAGAGAUUGAGUCUAUGAAACUGAAUACUAAACAUUUUUGGAUUCCAACAAAUAUAUUAUGGCUCUGAAUGGUAAUCAAAACCGCACUUAAAACCGCACCGCAACAGUACUGUAACAGUAUUAAAAUCUCUACAUAUUCAUAUGUAUCUAUAUAUUUUCGUUACUAUUUGAACCGCACCGUACUUCUCCCGCACCGCAAAACGCAAUCACCAUUCGGAGCUUAUAUCAUGGAGAUGUAGCUGGGCAAACAUAUGAUAUCGAUAUCCAGACCCUAAAGAAUUUU